This 281-nucleotide long non-coding RNA is filed under the name Olea europaea (common olive). RNAcentral's name for it is "long non-coding RNA (OEUR_LNC003246)". Lineage: Eukaryota; Viridiplantae; Streptophyta; Magnoliopsida; Lamiales; Oleaceae. The record is from RNAcentral.
UUUUGGACAAUAUUCUUGGCAUAUAUUCCCCUCACUCUCUCGGCCUCCAUUAGAGUGAAAAACCCCUCUUUGUGAGCUUCUCUCUCUCGGCCUCUUCUUCCCCCUCUCUCUGUGACCUUUGUGGUUGAUAUAUUGUGGGUAUUUUCUUGGCCUUCUUCUUCCCAAUCCAUAGCAACCGGACCGGUGGCGGCAUAGGGUGGUAUUGGAGUUGUCUCAAGUAAUGGUGUCGAUGUUUUUGGUAAACUGACCCCGGUUUUGCACUGCUUGGCUGUGGAAUUCGG